This 427-nucleotide long non-coding RNA is filed under the name Hordeum vulgare. RNAcentral's name for it is "long non-coding RNA (HVUL_LNC008818)". The record is from RNAcentral. Lineage: Eukaryota; Viridiplantae; Streptophyta; Magnoliopsida; Poales; Poaceae.
AUGAGGGGUGUGGUUCAAAUUCGAGACGUUAUAAUUUGGUGUCCAAAAUAAACAGUGCUAGCCUGUCCACCAUUGGCUUGGUCUUGUGCCAAGGGGACAUGUUAGGUCUUACUAUGUGUGCUAAACUAAGUUCAACCAGCAAACUACAAUGUUAGAUCAGCGGACGAGUGGACCGGAAGCCUCACUGUAAUUGGCUGAUCUGGUUCCAGUAACUAUUAUAUUAUGUGGUGGCAAGCAGAUGCUUUCACACGUAUAUUGUUAGCCCCUGGCAACUAAGUUCAACCAGCAAACUACAAUGUUAGAUCAGUGAAUGAGUGGACCGGAAGCCUCACUGUAAUUGGCUGAUCUGGUUUCAGUAACUAUUAUAUUAUGUGGUGGCAAGCAGAUGCUUUCACAUGUAUAUUGUUAGCCCCUGGCAACAUAAAGU